GGAAUUGACGGGGCCGCACAAGCAGCGGAGCGUGUGGUUUAAUUCGAUGCUACACGAAGAACCUUACCCGGGUUUGACAUGCAAGUGGUAGUGAUCCGAAAGGUGAACGACCCGCAAGGGAGCUUGCACAGGUGUUGCGUGGCUGUCGUCAGCUCGUGUCGUGAGAUGUUCGGUUAAGUCCGCUAACGAGCGCAACCCUCGCUGUAUGUUACAUGUGUCAUACAGGACCGCCGGUAUCAAGCCGGAGGAAGGUGGGGAUGACGUCAAGUCCGCAUGGCCUUUAUGUCCGGGGCUACACACACGCUACAAUGGUCGGUACAAUGGGUUGCUAAGCCGCGAGGUGGAGCCAAUCCCCCAAAGCCGGCCUCAGUUCAGAUUGCAGGCUGCAACUCGCCUGCAUGAAGCUGGAGUUGCUAGUAAACGCGCGUCAGCUAUAGUGCGUUGAAUACGUUCUCGGGCCUU
Molecule: ribosomal RNA, 462 nt
Filed under: uncultured Anaerolineaceae bacterium
Lineage: Bacteria; Bacillati; Chloroflexota; Anaerolineae; Anaerolineales; Anaerolineaceae
Description: bacterial SSU rRNA
Rfam family: Bacterial small subunit ribosomal RNA
Source: RNAcentral